This 253-nucleotide ribosomal RNA is filed under the name uncultured bacterium. RNAcentral's name for it is "partial 16S ribosomal RNA". It matches the Rfam family "Bacterial small subunit ribosomal RNA", at positions 524 to 776 of the family's 1533-position model. The record is from RNAcentral.
GACGGAGGGGGCUAGCGGUGUUCGGAAUUACUGGGCGUAAAGAGCGCGUAGGCGGAUUAGUAAGUUGGGAGUGAAAGCCCGGGGCUUAACCUCGGAACUGCUUUCAAAACUGCUAGUCUUGAGUGAAGUAGGGGAUGAUGGAAUUCCUAGUGUAGAGGUGAAAUUCUUAGAUAUUAGGAGGAACACCGGUGGCGAAGGCGGUCAUCUGGACUUCAACUGACGCUGAGGCGCGAAAGCGUGGGGAGCAAACAGG